Molecule: long non-coding RNA, 1605 nt
Filed under: Sorghum bicolor (sorghum)
Lineage: Eukaryota; Viridiplantae; Streptophyta; Magnoliopsida; Poales; Poaceae
Description: long non-coding RNA (SBIC_LNC016611)
Source: RNAcentral
GCUUGCAACAACAAAAAUAAAAGGAAAUAGACACCAAAUUCGUCAACGAAGCUAUCUCAUUUAAGGACAUAACAUCCUUAUUACUGGGUAUCAAAACUUUUAGCUUUGGAGAAAGCAAGUAAAUUAAAUUAAAACGCUUACACAAGUAUUCGAGGGAGAAAAAAACAGAUCCAAGAGAACACAAACAUUUCAGUAAAGCAAAAUAAUCUUCACUUUUCACGCAUGGCAUGCCAAAUGUUCACUUGGGAAUUUGUUAGAGGGCAAGGUCCCUCGAUCACCACCAACAGGUCCAGUCUAUCACCCGUUCAGAUUCUCACAUAUUGUUCUGUCCUGUGCUGUUUUUAUCACUCGUUGGAUCUUCAAAAUAUUCAUCAUAACCCAGGAAGAAAUGAUUUCGUUUUUGGUUGAAUCUCAAGCUGCUGCACCCUUUUGGUGUCACUUUCUACGGACUACAGCAUGAAUGGAGAGAAAAAAAAGUGCGUUCCAUGAUAUAGUAAUAAAGAGGAGAGGGCGUAGACAAGAGAUUCGCCAAAGUUGAAAGAAGUGAACGCGGGCAUUGCUAGUGUGUCUGUAGCCUGUAGGCGCACGAACCGAAUGAAAGCAGGGACCAGCAGCAGCAUACAUGUCCUUAUUGGGCAAGGACGGGUAUAAAAGAUGAUACUCCAGUAACCCGCUCUACUUAUAUCACUCUCUCCUUUUCUUUCUAGCUUUCGCAAUGGUCCAUCGCACGCACAAGAAACCCAAGAAUUGUUUUCCAUCAACUUCCUUUUUAAAAAAUAAAGUUAUAGUCCAUCGGUUGUGAAUUUUGGGGGAGAUCGACUGAAAUCUUCUAAAAUCGAGACGGGUUGCCAAAAGGUAAGCUGACUAACAACAGCAGCAUCUGGACAAAGCUUAGAACAUGAUGGCAUCAUCAAUGGACAGCGCAUACACCAGCAACGCUGUUGUAAACCCAUUAAUCAAUUCCAUGGCACAGCUCAAUCGUGCAUGUGCAAAGAAAUUCAAGAAGCUCCAAAAAGCUCUCCAGUCUCCACCGUACGCCACACCUACCCCUGAAGACUCGACGGGAGCCGCCACGGUCCACUGGCCUUCAGCAACAUGGCGUACGGAGACAAUAAGUUCAUUCGCGAAACCCAGCAGACGGGACCCGUCACAGUACAUUCGGCUGAUUGGCCAGGGUCCCACGAGACAGUGGCCCACGGGCGACCACGUGUGCGGCCCGGGCUGCCCGGUGCGGCCGAUCCGAUCGGCGCGGCAGCGGCACCAGAUCCAGCCUCUGGCACCCGCCAAAAACCGAUCUGGGGGCCAGGUGGUCGGUCUCUCUUGGUGCGUUCAUGUGGGUCCAUUAACUAGCGUCAGAGGCACGCACGCCGCUGGGGAGCUCGAGUUCAAGGCUGGCGUCAGUGUGGGUGUGGCAGUGUGGCACUCACCGACCGCCCGCUCGUUCCAUCAAGUGAGGAGUCACAAGUUCCGUCGAGGCCAACCGUGCUCCUACGCCGAUCGAUCUGAGAGCGACACAUGGGCAGCAAUAUUCUAAAGCCACGCGCAAUUUGCAGACACGGCAACAGCCAAUCGCAGCACCGCUGCGCACUUGCACGAACCAGGCCC